CGUACACUCCUGCGGGAGGCAGCAGUGGGGAAUAUUGGACAAUGGGCGCAAGCCUGAUCCAGCCAUGCCGCGUGAGUGAUGAAGGCCCUAGGGUUGUAAAGCUCUUUCACCGGUGAAGAUAAUGACGGUAACCGGAGAAGAAGCCCCGGCUAACUUCGCGCCAGCAGCCGCGGUAAUACGAAGGGGGCUAGCGUUGUUCGGAUUUACUGGGCGUAAAGCGCACGUAGGCGGACUAUUAAGUCAGGGGUGAAAUCCCGGGGCUCAACCCCGGAACUGCCUUUGAUACUGGUAGUCUUGAGUUCGAGAGAGGUGAGUGGAAUUCCGAGUGUAGAGGUGAAAUUCGUAGAUAUUCGGAGGAACACCAGUGGCGAAGGCGGCUCACUGGCUCGAUACUGACGCUGAGGUGCGAAAGCGUGGGGAGCAAACAGGAUUAGAAACCCGUGUAGUCCCAUG
Molecule: ribosomal RNA, 453 nt
Filed under: uncultured organism
Description: partial 16S ribosomal RNA
Rfam family: Bacterial small subunit ribosomal RNA
Source: RNAcentral